AACUCUGGUAUUGAUUGGUGCUUGCAUCAUGAUUUACAUUUGAGUGAGUGGCGAACUGGUGAGUAACACGUGGGAAACCUGCCCAGAAGCGGGGGAUAACACCUGGAAACAGAUGCUAAUACCGCAUAACAACUUGGACCGCAUGGUCCGAGUUUGAAAGAUGGCUUCGGCUAUCACUUUUGGAUGGUCCCGCGGCGUAUUAGCUAGAUGGUGGGGUAACGGCUCACCAUGGCAAUGAUACGUAGCCGACCUGAGAGGGUAAUCGGCCACAUUGGGACUGAGACACGGCCCAAACUCCUACGGGAGGCAGCAGUAGGGAAUCUUCCACAAUGGACGAAAGUCUGAUGGAGCAACGCCGCGUGAGUGAAGAAGGGUUUCGGCUCGUAAAACUCUGUUGUUAAAGAAGAACAUAUCUGAGAGUAACUGUUCAGGUAUUGACGGUAUUUAACCAGAAAGCCACGGCUAACUACGUGCCAGCAGCCGCGGUAAUACGUAGGUGGCAAGCGUUGUCCGGAUUUAUUGGGCGUAAAGCGAGCGCAGGCGGUUUUUUAAGUCUGAUGUGAAAGCCUUCGGCUCAACCGAAGAAGUGCAUCGGAAACUGGGAAACUUGAGUGCAGAAGAGGACAGUGGAACUCCAUGUGUAGCGGUGAAAUGCGUAGAUAUAUGGAAGAACACCAGUGGCGAAGGCGGCUGUCUGGUCUGUAACUGACGCUGAGGCUCGAAAGUAUGGGUAGCAAACAGGAUUAGAUACCCUGGUAGUCCAUACCGUAAACGAUGAAUGCUACGUGUUGGAGGGUUUCCGCCCUUCAGUGCUGCAGCUAACGCAUUAAGCAUUCCGCCUGGGGAGUACGGCCGCAAGGCUGAAACUCAAAGGAAUUGACGGGGGCCCGCACAAGCGGUGGAGCAUGUGGUUUAAUUCGAAGCUACGCGAAGAACCUUACCAGGUCUUGACAUACUAUGCAAAUCUAAGAGAUUAGACGUUCCCUUCGGGGACAUGGAUACAGGUGGUGCAUGGUUGUCGUCAGCUCGUGUCGUGAGAUGUUGGGUUAAGUCCCGCAACGAGCGCAACCCUUAUUAUCAGUUGCCAGCAUUAAGUUGGGCACUCUGGUGAGACUGCCGGUGACAAACCGGAGGAAGGUGGGGAUGACGUCAAAUCAUCAUGCCCCUUAUGACCUGGGCUACACACGUGCUACAAUGGAUGGUACAACGAGUUGCGAACUCGCGAGAGUAAGCUACUCUCUUAAAGCCAUUCUCAGUUCGGAUUGUAGGCUGCAACUCGCCUACAUGAAGUCGGAAUCGCUAGUAAUCGCGGAUCAGCAUGCCGCGGUGAAUACGUUCCCGGGCCUUGUACACACCGCCCAUCACACCAUGAGAGUUUGUAACACCCAAAGUCGGU
Molecule: ribosomal RNA, 1396 nt
Filed under: Lactiplantibacillus pentosus
Lineage: Bacteria; Bacillati; Bacillota; Bacilli; Lactobacillales; Lactobacillaceae
Description: bacterial SSU rRNA
Rfam family: Bacterial small subunit ribosomal RNA
Source: RNAcentral